Entelurus aequoreus (snake pipefish) is the source of this 1556-nucleotide long non-coding RNA. RefSeq lists it as uncharacterized. The transcript is spliced from 3 exons. The record is from RefSeq and is a predicted model, not a curated record. Lineage: Eukaryota; Metazoa; Chordata; Actinopteri; Syngnathiformes; Syngnathidae.
ACUGCUAAAGCCCCCGCAGAAGAUAAAGUCACUGACAGGUUGCGCCUUCAAUCUGGGCCAUCGCAGGAUUUACUCGGCGGAUGAAGCCGCGACCACGGGAUUAAAUGAAACCCCGGCGACCCCAGAUCAGACACGGAGAACUCGGGAGGAAUUAAAAGGCAUCCAAACAAGGGCAGGAAUAUUUUGGUCUGCUUUUUGCAGUUAGAGCACAGCGAGCUCUUUUCCUUGACACAAAUUGAAGCAAUCAGAAAGGUGUAGGAGUGGUAUGCACUUGGAGGUGCAGCUGGGAGGCCUCCUUUGCUGGAGAAUUGGCAGUCUUACACUUGGUGUUGGACUGGGUGGAGCAGCACGGUGAAGUUGUCCUCAACAAGCACAGUGGUGUUGGGAAAUGGCUGCAUCGAGCACGCGCACUUCAGAAACCACACGACCACUUUCAGCAACUUGCACAGGUCAUUCAAUUCUAAAAGUCAAAUACUAGUGUUACACUGCAAAAAGUGCAAUCUAAGUAAGAUUAAUUAUCUCCAAUAAGGCUGAUAUUUGCUUAUUUUCUGUCUGAUAAGAUCAUUCUUCUCACUAAGCAGAUUUUAUGUUAGAGUGUUUUACUUGUUUUAAGGGUAUUGGUCCUAAAUGAUGUCAGUAAGAUAUUACAGCUUGUUGCUGAGAUUUGAUGAGCUAUAUUGAGUAAAACAUGCUUGAAACUAGAAUAUCAACUGUUGUGUCAUCAACACUCACAAGUAGAAAACUACUUUUUUAAAGUCAUCAUUUCUUACUUCAAGCAUGAAAAAAAAAUCCUGACUUUGACACAAUUGUGUCUCAUAAUUAAAACAGAUGACAGCCAAAUGGACUUUGCUGUUUUAUUUUUGUCAUGUCUGUUCAUGUUUUUGUUUGGGCCAUGUGUUUGUUUUUUGGACUCUUUUUAGUUCCUGGUUGCACUUUCUUGUUUGGUUUGGUUUCCAUGGUCACGCAUGAGUUUUCACCUGUCUUGUCACGCACCUGUUUGGAGUCACACACCUGUUUGGAGUCACGCACCUGUUUGGAGUCACACACCUGUUUGGAGUCACACACCUGUUUGGAGUCACACACCUGUUUGGAGUCACGCACCUGUUUGGAGUCACGCACCUGUUUGGAGUCACACACCUGUUUGGAGUCACGCACCUGUUUCAAGUCACGCACCUGUUUGGAGUCACACACCUGUUUUCACUGAUCACGUCACUAUUUAAAUGUGUGUGUUUCUGUUGUUGGUCCUGGCGUCCUCACACUAUUUCAGCACUCUGCUUCAUGUCAUGUCACAGUUCUUUGCCAAGUAAGAUUUGUUCAUUUAUGCCACAGUUAGUGUUUUUGUUUAAUUGUUCAUAGUUUCUGCAUUUGUGCAAGUUUUGUGUUUAUUACCAAGUUUUGUAUUUCCGCCUUUGUGCGCGCCUUUUGUUUUCCUAGUCAAGUUUUUUACCUCCACUGUGAGCGCCUUUUGUUUAUUCCUUUUUUUGUUUGUUAAAAUUAAAUCAUGUAUUUAAAUUCACGUCUUGCACGCGCCAAUUUUCCUUUGCCUUCCGGAGGAA